Molecule: ribosomal RNA, 468 nt
Filed under: uncultured bacterium
Lineage: Bacteria
Description: partial 16S ribosomal RNA
Rfam family: Bacterial small subunit ribosomal RNA
Source: RNAcentral
GACGAACGCUGGCGGCGUGCUUAACACAUGCAAGUCGAACGGAAAGGCCCUGCUUUUGUGGGGUGCUCGAGAGGCGAACGGGUGAGUAACACGUGAGUAACCUGCCCUUGACUUUGGGAUAACUUCAGGAAACUGGGGCUAAUACCGGAUAGGAGCUCCUGCUGCAUGGUGGGGGUUGGAAAGUUUCGGCGGUUGGGGAUGGACUCGCGGCUUAUCAGCUUGUUGGUGGGGGAGUGGCUUACCAAGGCUUUGACGGGUAGCCGGCAUGGGAGGGUGACCGGCCACAUGAGGACUGCGAUACGGACCAGACUCCUACGGGAGGCAGCGGGGGGGAGUAUGGCACAAUGGGCGGAAGCCUGAUGCAGCAACGCCGCGUGCGGGAUGACGGCCUUCGGGUUGUAAACCGCUGUCGCCUGUGACGAAGCGUGAGUGACGGUAAUGGGUAAAGAAGCACCGGCUAACUACGUG